AUGGUUGUGGAAUAGUGGUUUGAAUGUUGGACUAUGGUUCUGGAGAACUGGGUUCAAUUCCCUGCUCAGCCAUG
This is a non-coding RNA of Phrynosoma platyrhinos (Desert horned lizard), 74 nucleotides long. NCBI's taxonomy places the organism in Eukaryota, Metazoa, Chordata, Lepidosauria, Squamata, Phrynosomatidae. The record is from the annotation of a GenBank genome assembly.